ACAGCAGCCGCCACGGGAACACGAAGGGUGCAAGCGUUACUCGGAAUUACUGGGCGUAAAGCGUGCGUAGGUGGUGGUUUAAGUCCGUUGUGAAAGCCCUGGGCUCAACCUGGGAAUUGCAGUGGAUACUGGGUCACUAGAGUGUGGUAGAGGAUAGUGGAAUUUCCGGUGUAGCAGUGAAAUGCGUAGAGAUCGGAAGGAACAUCUGUGGCGAAGGCGACUAUCUGGGCCAACACUGACACUGAGGCACGAAAGCGUGGGGAGCAAACAGGAUUAGAUACCCCAGUAGUCCCUGUCUCUUAUAC
RNAcentral lists this ribosomal RNA (305 nucleotides) under uncultured bacterium. RNAcentral's name for it is "partial 16S ribosomal RNA". It matches the Rfam family "Bacterial small subunit ribosomal RNA", at positions 508 to 807 of the family's 1533-position model. The record is from RNAcentral.